Molecule: ribosomal RNA, 628 nt
Filed under: uncultured fungus
Lineage: Eukaryota; Fungi
Description: eukaryotic LSU rRNA
Rfam family: 5.8S ribosomal RNA (bases 229-382)
Source: RNAcentral
UCCGUAGGUGAACCUGCGGAGGGAUCAUUACACAAUAUGAAAGCGGGCUGGAUACUCUGCAGUAGUGCAUUGCUUUACGGCGUGCGCUGCUGGAGAGCCUAGCCUUGCUGAAUUAUUUACCCGUGUCUUUUGCGUACUUCUUGUUUCCUUGGUGGGCUCGCCCGCCACAAGGACAACUCAUAAACCUUUUGUAAUAGCAAUCAGCGUCAGUAACAACAUAAUAAUUACAACUUUCAACAACGGAUCUCUUGGUUCUGGCAUCGAUGAAGAACGCAGCGAAAUGCGAUACGUAGUGUGAAUUGCAGAAUUCAGUGAAUCAUCGAAUCUUUGAACGCACAUUGCGCCCCUUGGUAUUCCAUGGGGCAUGCCUGUUCGAGCGUCAUUUGUACCCUCAAGCUAUGCUUGGUGUUGGGUGUUUGUCCUCUCCUCUGCGAUUGGACUCGCCUUAAAGACAUUGGCAGCCAGUGUAUUGGUAUUGAAGCGCAGCACAAUUUGCGAUUCUGGCCUUAAAAUACUAGCGUCCAUAAGUACUUUCUCACUUUUGGACCUCCGGGGGGAUCAUGGUAGGGGGAUACCCGCUGAACUUAAGGCAUAUCAAUAAGGCGGGGGAGGGGAAGGGUCGGACUGG